GAAAAGAUAUAGAGUCUUACCUGCCCAUUGAAAUUUAAAAGGCCGCGGUAAUUUGACCGUGCAAAGGUAGCAUAAUCAUUAGUUUUUUAAUUAGAAAUUUGUAUGAAGGGUUUGAUGAGAGAUAGUCUGUCUUAUUUAUAUAUAUUGAAUUUAACUUUUAAGUGAAAAGGCUUAAAUAAAAUAAAGGGACGAUAAGACCCUAUAAAAUUUAAUAUAAAUUAUAUUAUUUUAUAAAAUUAUUAGUUUAUUAUAAAAUAAUAUAAUAAUAUUUUAUUGGGGCGAUAGGAAUAUAAAAUAAUAACUGUUCUUUUUAAAAUUAAUUAAUAUUUAGUUAAGUUGAUCCUUAUUUUAAGAUUUAAAGAUAAAGUUACUUUAGGGAUAACAGCGUAAUUUUUUUUGAGAGUUCUUAUCGAUAAAAGAGAUUGCGACCUCGAUGUUGAAUUAAAAUUUCUUUAUAAUGUAGCAGUUAUAAAAGAAGGUCUGUUCGACCUUUAAAUUUUUACAUGAUUUGAGUUC
Molecule: ribosomal RNA, 516 nt
Filed under: Spongicoloides weijiaensis
Lineage: Eukaryota; Metazoa; Arthropoda; Malacostraca; Decapoda; Spongicolidae
Description: partial 16S ribosomal RNA
Rfam family: Bacterial large subunit ribosomal RNA
Source: RNAcentral